UUGACUUACAAAUGAUAAUCGUUAUGAUUAUCACAACUGAUCGCAAGAUCGGUUGGAUUUUCUGGAAGGUCCUUGGUUCGGACGCUCAGAUUAUCUCCUCAUCAGGCUAAUCACGGUUAUUGACCCGGCUUUUUGCCGGGUCUUUUUUUG
RNAcentral lists this small RNA (150 nucleotides) under Pseudomonas agarici. RNAcentral's name for it is "PrrF RNA". It matches the Rfam family "PrrF RNA". Rfam says of the family: PrrF RNA is a small RNA involved in iron homeostasis and is found exclusively in Pseudomonas species. Their expression is induced under iron limitation by the ferric uptake regulator (Fur) and they act to negatively regulate several genes including sodB and sdh. Lineage: Bacteria; Pseudomonadati; Pseudomonadota; Gammaproteobacteria; Pseudomonadales; Pseudomonadaceae. The record is from Rfam by way of RNAcentral.